This 468-nucleotide ribosomal RNA is filed under the name uncultured bacterium. RNAcentral's name for it is "partial 16S ribosomal RNA". It matches the Rfam family "Bacterial small subunit ribosomal RNA", at positions 28 to 507 of the family's 1533-position model. The record is from RNAcentral.
GACGAACGCUGGCGGCGUGCUUAACACAUGCAAGUCGAACGGAAAGGCCCUGCUUUUGUGGGGUGCUCGAGUGGCGAACGGGUGAGUAACACGUGAGUAACCUGCCCUUGCCUUUGGGAUAACUUCAGGAAACUGGGGCUAAUACCGGAUAGGAGCUCCUGCUGCAUGGUGGGGGUUGGAAAGUUUCGGCGGUUGGGGAUGGACUCGCGGCUUAUCAGCUUGUUGGUGGGGUAGUGGCUUACCAAGGCUUUGACGGGUAGCCGGCCUGAGAGGGUGACCGGACACAUUGGGACUGAGAUACGGCCCAGACUCCUACGGGAGGCAGCAGUGGGGAAUAUUGCACAAUGGGCGGAAGCCUGAUGCAGCAACGCCGCGUGCGGGAUGACGGCCUUCGGGUUGUAAACCGCUUUCGCCUGUGACGAAGCGUGAGUGACGGUAAUGGGUAAAGAAGCACCGGCUAACUACGUG